AAUCAACGCUGGCGGCGUGCCUAACACAUGCAAGUCGAACGAGAAAGUGGAGCAAUCCCUGAGUACAGUGGCGUACGGGUGAGUAACACGUGGAUGAUCUACCCCUUAGUUUGGAAUAACCAUGGGAAACCGUGGCUAAUACCGGAUAAGCUCGAGAGAGGAAAGCAGCAAUGCGCUGAGGGAGGAGUCCGCGGCCGAUUAGCUAGUUGGUGAGGUAAAAGCCCACCAAGGCAAAGAUCGGUAGCCGGCCUAAGAGGGCACACGGCCACACUGGCACUGAAACACGGGCCAGACUCCUACGGGAGGCAGCAGUGGGGAAUCUUGCACAAUGGGGGAAACCCUGAUGCAGCGACGCCGCGUGAGCGAUGAAGCCCUUCGGGGUGUAAAGCUCUUUCGGCAGGGAAGAUGGUGACGGUACCUGCAGAAGCAGCUGCGGCUAACUACGUGCCAGCAGCCGCGGUAAUACGUAGGCAGCAAGCGUUGUUCGGAGUUACUGGGCGUAAAGGGUGUGUAGGCGGUUUUUUAAGUUUGGUGUGAAAUCUCCCGGCUCAACUGGGAGGGUGCGCCGAAUACUGAAAGACUAGAGUGCGGGAGAGGAAAGUGGAAUUCCUGGUGUAGCGGUGAAAUGCGUAGAUAUCAGGAGGAACACCGGUGGCGAAGGCGGCUUCCUGGACCGAUACUGACGCUGAGACGCGAAAGCGUGGGGAGCAAACAGGAUUAGAUACCCUGGUAGUCCACGCC
Molecule: ribosomal RNA, 741 nt
Filed under: uncultured bacterium
Lineage: Bacteria
Description: bacterial SSU rRNA
Rfam family: Bacterial small subunit ribosomal RNA
Source: RNAcentral